RNAcentral lists this ribosomal RNA (497 nucleotides) under uncultured bacterium. RNAcentral describes it as "partial 16S ribosomal RNA". It matches the Rfam family "Bacterial small subunit ribosomal RNA", at positions 28 to 507 of the family's 1533-position model. The record is from RNAcentral.
GAUGAACGCUGGCGGCGUGCCUAAUACAUGCAAGUCGAGCGAACAGACGAGGAGCUUGCUCCUCUGACGUUAGCGGCGGACGGGUGAGUAACACGUGGAUAACCUACCUAUAAGACUGGGAUAACUUCGGGAAACCGGAGCUAAUACCGGAUAAUAUAUUGAACCGCAUGGUUCAAUAGUGAAAGACGGUUUGGCUGUCACUUAUAGAGGGUACCGCGCCGCAUUAGCUAGUUGGUAAGGUAACGGCUUACCAAGGCGACGAUGCGUAGCCGACCUGAGGGGGUGAUCGGCCACACUGGAACUGAGACACGGUCCAGACUCCUACGGGAGGCAGCAGUAGGGAAUCUUCCGCAAAGGGCGAAAGCCUGACGGAGCAACGCCGCGUGAGUGAUGAAGGUCUUCGGAUCGUAAAACUCUGUUAUUAGGGAAGAACAAAUGUGUAAGUAACUAUGCACGUCUUGACGGUACCUAAUCAGAAAGCCACGGCUAACUACGUG